Molecule: ribosomal RNA, 909 nt
Filed under: Triticum aestivum (bread wheat)
Lineage: Eukaryota; Viridiplantae; Streptophyta; Magnoliopsida; Poales; Poaceae
Description: partial small subunit ribosomal RNA
Source: RNAcentral
CCGCACUUGCGGCCGUACAACAAGCGUAAGUUAGAGUUUCGGUCUAAGAAGUGUGUCUUUCUUGGGUACAGUUCUCUCCACAAAGGGUACAAGUGUCUUCAUGUUCCCACCAAUUGUGUCUACAUUUCCCGUGACGUCGUGUUUGAUGAGAAUGUGUUCCCAUUUCGUGCUCUUCCGAACCACUCUACCAUUAGUUUACCACCUGUGCACUCAGCUACACCUUCGCCUGAUCAAUUUGUGGAUGUUGCAAAUGCUCCUGUGUUGCUUCCUAACCAUGUUGCAGGUAUUGGACGUGGUGCCCGUCUUGAACUCCUGGAUGAUGAGGCUAUGGACAACACUCACGAUGGUCACGUCGGUCCGGUGCAUGGCCCAUGCAUGACGGGUCGUGCCCGCCAGCCCGAUGCAUCCACAGCCGCCCCGCGGGCGUCGGCAGCGCCCGCAGGUGCGCCCGGCUCGCCUGGCUCGCCCGCCCCGUUGGCCGCAUCACCUGGGCCUGGUGACGAGUCAACGCCGCCAGCGUCGCCCUUGCCUAGCCCAGCGGCAGGCGGCCCAGCAGCCACUGGCCUAGCGGCCACGUCAGCUGCACCGGCCAGCCCCGCCUCGGCCCCCUCGGCUCCUCGCGAGCCGGCCUUGUCGUCGGCUAGGAUCGGCAGCCUCGUCUCGGCCACGUCGUCCGGUGCUGAGCCUGAUGACCCUGGCUCCUCCAGCUCAGGAUCGGUCCCGCCUUCGUCUCCUGUGGCAAGCCCUGUGUUGCCGGCGCCGCCUGCUGUGGUCGCUCAUCGUCCACACACACGGAGCCGGUCUGGUGUUUUUCGGCCCAAGGAACGCACAGACGGCACUGUGGCGUGGCUUGCCGCAUGUGUGGCUCAUGCUGCUGCGGAUCCGACGGCUGAGCCGCGUCAUUUUUAG